This is an RNA transcript of Panthera uncia (snow leopard), 7365 nucleotides long. It is a transcript of the gene named periphilin 1, with no coding region annotated. NCBI's taxonomy places the organism in Eukaryota, Metazoa, Chordata, Mammalia, Carnivora, Felidae. The transcript has 13 exons. The record is from RefSeq and is a predicted model, not a curated record.
ACUACAUUUACGGGGUCUCCCGGUGGCCCAGAGUCGAGAGUGCGUGCGCGUGAGAAUCCCAAGCAGGCUUCCACUCUGUCAGCCAGCGCAGAGCCCAAGGCGGGGCUCUAUCUCACAAACCAUGAGAUCAUGACCUGAGCCGAAAUCAAGAGUCAGACACUCAACCGACUGAGCCACCCAGGUGCCCCUCAACUUUUUAAAGAGAUUGUUGAAAACUUUAUAUUUGAUUCCUGAAAGUACUCAAUGGCUUACAGAAGAGAUGAAAUGUGGUCUGAGGGACGAUAUGACUAUGAAAGACUUCCAAGAGAACGAGUACCGCCUCGAAGUCACCCCAGUGAUGGCUACCAUAGAGUAGUUAAUAUUGUGCCAAAGAAACCACCACUGCUAGACAGACCUGGUGAAGGAAACUACAAUAGAUAUUACAGUCAUGUUGAUUACCGAGAAUAUGACGAGGGCCGCAGUUUUUCUCAUGAUCGAAGAAGUGGUCCACCUCACAGAGGAGAUGAAUCUGGCUACAGGUGGACAAGAGAUGAUCAUUCCACAAGCCGACAGCCUGAAUACAGGGACAUGAGAGACGGCUUUAGAAGAAAAAGUUUCUACCCUUCCCAUUAUGCAAGAGACCGAUCUCCUCAUAAAAGAGACCCUCCUUUUUUCAGAGAAUCGCCUGUAGGUCGAAAGGAUUCUCCACACAGCAGGUCUGGCUCCAGCGUCAGUAGUAGAAGCUACUCUCCAGAAAGAAGCAAAACGUACUCUUUCCAUCAAUCUCAACAUAGAAAGUCCAUCCGUGCUGGUGCCUCCUACAAACGGCAGAAUGAAGGAAAUCCAGAAAGAGGUAAAGAGAGACCUGUUCAGUCUUUAAAAACAUCAAGAGACACUUCACCCUCAAGUUCUUCAGCAGUUCCUUCAUCAAAGGUGUUAGACAAACCCAGUCGGCUAACCGAAAAGGAACUUGCUGAGGCUGCAAGCAAGUGGGCUGCUGAAAAGCUGGAAAAGGCAGAUGAGAGUAACUUACCUGAAAUUUCUGAGUAUGAGGCAGGAUCCACAGCACCACUGUUUAUUGACCAGCCAGAAGAACCUGAGUCAAAUGCAACAGAUGGCAUGGAAUUAUUUGAAGACAGUCAGCUAACCAGCCGCUCUAAAGCAAUAGCAUCGAAAACCAAAGAGAUUGAACAGGUUUACCGACAAGACUGUGAAACUUUCGGGAUGGUUGUGAAAAUGCUGAUUGAAAAAGAUCCUUCAUUAGAAAAGUCUAUACAGUUUGCAUUGAGACAGAAUUUACAUGAAAUAGGUGAGAGGUGUGUUGAGGAACUCAAACAUUUCAUUGCAGACUAUGACACCUCUAGUCAAGAUUUUGGAGAGCCUUUUUAGAAGAUUGCUCAGGCAAAAAAAAUGUUUCUAGAUUUUUUUUUUUUUUUGGAUUCUGUAAAUCCUUAAUAUAUAGAAUUUUUGUGAUGAAGAGAAAUACUUUAUGAUAGUCGACCACAUUUCCGAUAUCAAAUAAACAUCUAAAAUAGUUUAAGAUAUUUUAAUUAGAGUUUUUUAAAUCCACAUGUAGAGCCUCCUAAUCCAUACCUUUUAUCCCCCUAAAAUGAUGGGUCAGUUAAUUUUUCAAGCUUUGAAAAAGCAGUGUUGGAGAACAGCUCAUGUUCUAUAGUCUUCAGUAUGCGAUCAUUUGUUUUGGUCACAUAGUAUAUAAUUUAUAGGGUAGAGAUCGUUCCACUUAAACAUUAAUAGUCUUUUUGCAUUUCAUAGUCAGUGAUACCAUGUGAAAAUGUUAGAAUUCUGAGUUGUGAUUUUAUUGACUUGUUGCUUGCUUGUUUUAGGCUUUGUAACUUUUAAUAUGUUCAAGUAUACUAUCCAAAUAAACUGAAUACUCCAGUAUUUUACAGAAUAUUUGCUUUAAGAUUAAUUCCCAUUAUGAUAAAAUAGAGCACUUAAAUCUUAAAAAGACCUCAUAGUAAAAUCCUGUUUUCCAAGUAAAUCAACUCAAUGUCUUCUAUUAAAAUAAUCCUGAAACUCCUGACCAGUCUCACAGAUGUCUGAGUCUUAAACAAUAUCAUAUAUAAAGCUAAGAGAAGGGGCAAUUUGAGAUGAAAGAUGAGAGCUAUUUUCAAGUUGAGAUUUCUUUAAAAACUUCUAAUUGAGAGGCAUUCACUUUCCAAUGUCCCCUCUGUAAAGAGAGCUUUCAUACUAUUUUUACUUUCUGAUUUUAUACUCUAAUAAACUUUUGCCUGCUGCUCUAAAUAAAUAAAUAAAUAAAUAAAUAAAUAAAUACUUAUCAUUGAAAUAGAAAAAUUUCGAAUAUGAUGAAGUAGUGGAAUUUCAUUUUUUUCCCAGGCCCAUAUUUCCCAUCUCAAGAAAAGUUCAUUGAUAACAUAUCCACGAUCAAACCAUUUACAGAUUCCUUUGUUAAUCACAUUAUGCUUUUAUUUAUAUCUGUUUGUAGUUGUAACAAGAUCUUUGAUGUGUUGCCCUUUUUUAGGGAUCGUUAGCCCUCAAAAGUGUUCUUUAAAGAAACAAAGCAGAGUAGGCAGUAAGCCCAGCACAACUACCCCUCACCAAACAGUCUAUGUAAACAUUUCUCCAUGAGUGAGCCAUCCAAAUCACGGGUUACUUAAAAAUCUAACUGGGACCAUUAGGAUAUUCCACUCAUUUCCUGAUCACUUCCAGCUGCCCAGUGGCAUUUAGCCAAAAUAUGUAUUUCUGUGGCAUUAGGAAACCUUAAAAUCAUGCUUGUUAUUACUACCCAGUUUCAUUAUCCUCCCAUCCCUCUUUCCAUUUCCAUUCUCUUCUCACUUGAAUUCUGGCAUUAUCUUUAGUGGCUUACAUUGAUAUUAUCUAAAGAGCUACCCCAGAGUAGAUAAAAAUUACAUUAAAAAUGGAAUCAGCAGUACAAAUAAUUUUGGUGGAUCCUAUAUGGGUGCCUCAAAAUAUGUAUUGUCCCAUUCCACAAAUGUAAAAACUAAUUGAACAUAAUUAUUUUUCUUAAGUUUCUUAUAUGAGACUGCCUUGAACUCUUACUUUUGCCAUUUAAAGGUACAUAAGCUGAAACUAAACCCCACAUAUCACCUCUGGUAUUCUUUCCUAAUUACGAACAGUGAUUUUGUUACCACUUUAGAAAGAAAAGACUAAGAAAGUACUGAUGUUGGUUCUCCCCUACCCCCAUGUUUUUCUUUUCCUUAAAUAUUCUAAGUCCAGGAUUCAAUUCCUUUAGUCAAGAUGUUUCAUGUUUAAAAAUAAAAGUUAAGAAACUACCAUCAAGGCAAAUGAGUUGUUCAUUCUGUUGAAAUUCAUUAAACUAGAAAUUCAUUAAGCUAGAGGUUUUGCUUACAGAUGCAUUUAAUUGUAGGUUCAACAGAUAAUUUCUUCUUCUCUCCUUUCCCCAAAUUAUAUUCAACAUUUAAAGCUCUUUAUAGCUUGCCAUCAGCAUUAUUCUGGUAGGCUUGUCAGUGUUAAUUCUGUUUGUUUUUGACAGCUUUUUAAAGUCCAGUUUUAGGAUAGUUGAAUUCAGAUGUGUACGAGAGUGUGUAUUUUACAAAAUGUUCUUGAUUAAUUUGUUUGUAAAGUAUCCAUUGUUUUUGAGUAUGCCCAGCUGAUAUGAUAAAAUUUUCAUUGUCUUACCAUAAAGCCUUGAUGAUCAACAGGGAGAAAGCAGAUAGUGUGAAGCUUUUUGUGAAUUUUAAAAGUGCAAAAUAAAGCAACCAGGUUUAAAUAAUUGGAUUGUCUUUUUUUUUCUCUUUAACAGGCUUAAAGUAUUUUCCUGAAAUGUAGAUUUUUAUUACUCCCUACUGCAAGAUUACUCAAUGUUCAGUUCACCCACUCAGCAGCAGGAUGGAAGAAUUGAGAAAUUAUUAACUUUGGUGACUUAAGGAGUGUUGAUAUCUGAGCAAGCAAUUAAAUGAGAUAAGAUUGAACACACAGAAGUGCUCAGUAAUUGUGUAAUUAUGAAUCUGCGUUUCAGGGAAUUGUAGGAUUAAAAUCUUAACCUUUUUAUGGAACCUCUGGAGGAACCGUGUCUUUGGGACCUGGUUCCUAGCACAGUUUGGAAUGUUGUAGUUACUUGUAUUCCUUGACACUUCACAAAAGAAGUGACAUUUGACCAUAGGUCUUGGAGAAAUAGGACUUAUUCAGGCAGAAAAGGGGAAGUAAUAGAAGUCUAGGAAGAGGAGAAUGGUACAGGGAAAGAUGGAAGCCUGUAUGACUGAAGCCGGUUGGGAAAGAUGUUAGGGGACAAAUUUAGGAAAAGAUUGGUUAACAGAAAGAAUGAUUUUGAAUGUUUUUAGCUUUAUCCUUUUUCUUCUACUCAUUCAAGAAUGACAUUUGAAAAUACUGUCUUUGAAGAUAUUACCUUUGUAUUUAUUCUUGCCCAAAACACUAAUUUCCCACAGCCUCUCAGCCGCUUACCAACUCUGAGCCAGUUUAUAGAUCCAGAACACCUUGAAGAAAGGGCAGGCCAGCUCCCCUUCAGAAAGGAUUCUGCUUGCACCCAGACAUUGCAUAGUGGUUUCAGCUUCAUUUCAGAGUUUCCUGCAAGGGAUCCUAAACUCCAAAGAAGGCUCUGACAAUUCUUUGGUGACAACUUUGGAGACUGUAUUCAGUGUCGAGGGCAUCCAGCCACCCAGGUGGCUUGACAGCUAUAAUGCUGCUCAGGUUGGCACACUCUGCUUGCCAGAUGAGGGUUUGUGGGUUAUGCAUAGUACGUUUACCAUCUCCUUCCUGCCUUUUCUCUUGAGAGCACUGAUGUUCAAUUCAGUGAAAAAGGUGGGGGAGUGGGAGGAGGAAGGAAGACUAGUAAUAGUAACUAAGGCGGUUAGCAGAAUCUUUUCUCCCCCUUUUCAUGUAAUGGAGUUGAAAUUGAGUCACAUGACUGCUAAUUAGGAUUUUAUUUGCUGUGUUCCCCCUUGCAGUUAGGUGUAAUCAAGUGACUGAGUCCAUUCCCAUGGAAUUUGAGUGGAAGUACCUCUUCUUCUGGGCUGGGACCCUUAGGACAGUGGAUGUGCUCCUUUGUAGUCUCUCUUUAUUCCUUCCCAAAGUAGUAGCAAUAGCAACUCAGCCUUGAUUUGCUGCAGAGCCACAAGAUGGAAGGAACUUGGAUCCCUACAUGACCACAUGGAGUACUGAACUGUUGGGUGAAAGAGGAAUAAACUUCUUCACUGUUUAAGCCACAUUAUUGUUUUUUUGUUAGCAGCUUACCUUUGGUUCAAAUUAAUGCAAAUGGUAUUUCAGAGUUAGCUUCACUGAAGUUGGUUCUCAGCAGGCUGUACAAGUCCUGCCUUUCCAUUGUAAUAAUUGAUCUUGGGGUAAUGGGGACUGAGUAUAUAAAAGGCUUUGCCAAGGGGCACCUGGCUGGCUCAGUCUGUGAGGCAUCUGACUCUGGAUCUUGGGGUUGUGAGUUUGAGCCUCACAUUGGGUAUGCAAUUAAAAAUUAAACAUGAUACAAUGAAAAAUACAAUGAAAAAAAAAGGCCAGUCCACUGAGUUAAUUCCAAGUUGUAUUUAAAAUCUCACUUGAUGACAAAUAUCAAUAAAGCCUGAUGCACAUUUGUAUAGUGGUAGAGACAGCCCGAUAAUAUAUAGCACAUUGUUUUUUGAGCUCUGUUCCACAGACUAAUAGUGUGCUAAUGUUAGACCAUUAUCACUGAAAUUAUAUAAGGCUUAAAGUUUUUUUUCAUUUUUUUGUGUGUGAAUGAAAAUGUAGAAGUUUACUGAAAUAUAAACAUUUGAGAACAUAUCAAAUAGGAAAAAACCACAACAUACACAGACACUUGCUGCAAGAGGACGUGUGAGGUAUGUAACCACCGCCUAGGCUACCCAUGUGUUAGCACAUUUUUCCUGGUUGGAAUCCAUGUAAGGUGGGAAGGGGACAGAGCUGCCCUGGCUGACUGGCCAUACAGCCUGCAGGUCUGCACCUUCAGUGAAAGCCCCUUUUGGCCCAGUUCCUGGGGGCACCUGCUGGCACCCCUACUCUUGGGUAGAAAGGCGGAGACCCUGCUGUUUUCCUUGAGGGUAGGGAGGGUUCACUGUGUGGGUAAGGCUGGACAAGCUGCCUGGGGAAAGGGAGAGGAUCCAGUGACCAGAAAGUGUGCUGUCCCUUCAUCCUCCAAGUGGGAAGAGUCCAUCCUUUGUGAUCAAACCCCUGAGAAAGACACACUGGCCAAAUGUCUGCAGUACCUUUAAGUGAGUCCAGCACGGCCAACUGGGUUCCUCUCUGUCACCAGAUCCCAGGUGCCCUCCUCUGCCAACAGCCUGUGCUUGCCUGGUGGGGAAGGCGGAGAAGGCUUCUGAGGCCGAAAAGGGUCAGCCCCCAGUGGAUGAGAAAGUGUGUGUGCAUUGUGUGUUGUGGGGGGCCACGGGAGGGGAGAGAAAAUGCAGUCCAGCAGAGUGUGUGUGCAUUGUGUGUUGUGAUGGGGGGGGCCACGGGAGGGGAGAGAAAACGCAGUCCAGCAGAGCUGUAGCUUACCAGGCCGAGGUAUCUGUUCUGUGCUAGCUUUUAAUUUCCUCCCCUUUCCUUUCCUUUUCUGCAUUAGCAGUUUGAGGGCUCCCACCGGCAUGGCCUCCCACCACCACAGCCUGAUGACACCCUCGUGGUGGUGGUCUGUGAACACUGCAGGGCAUACUCAUUUGAGAGGUGAGCCUUGUGUAAGAAUCACAUUUUCUUUAUGACAUAGGAGCAGCCUGCUCCCCCUGCUGAGGGUCCAAGAGGAGAGACGGAGCUCCCUCAUCUCCUAUCCCCUGGAGUGGCUUGACCUCUUCAAGGCCCAUGGCCUCCAUGGCCCGUCCCUGUCCUGAAGUGGGGAGACCUGCCCGCACCUUGGUUUGCCCCUGUUAAGGAAAUGGAUCUGGAAGGGCCCCCGCCUCUCCAAAGUCUCUUCAUAAUUCCGGAUGUCUCACAAUGCAGGGAAAAAAGUAGAACAGUGUUCAGGAAUGGGUUUGUUCAGGUUCCAGAGUUUGACCAUCAAGGAAGCAUGUAGAGGGAGCAACACCUUUAAGAGCUAACAGCACUGUCAAAGAUGGCACUGAGGUCAAGCACAGAGAACAGAUACUUGGAUUAAAUUACAGCAGGUAAGGAGUUAUUUGCAGGUACUAUUUUAAAGAGAGGACUAAAAGCGGACUAGAAAGAAGACUCAAGGAGACGAAUGACAAAAAGAAGAAAAGGGAACGGACAAGGGAGACGAGAAGGAAGCCCAAGGUUGGGUAGAGAGAAAUGAGAUACUUUUUUCUUACGAAGACAAGGACUAUCAUGGGGAUGCUCCAAGCCAGCCAAACAACAGAAGGUGGAAGAGUUUCAUUUCCCUUCUUUCUCCUUUUCUCCUUUCUUCCUUCAAAAUAGUUACUUCUCACCAUUUAAAAAAAACUCAAAGACAAA